Molecule: long non-coding RNA, 477 nt
Filed under: Pan troglodytes (chimpanzee)
Lineage: Eukaryota; Metazoa; Chordata; Mammalia; Primates; Hominidae
Description: long non-coding RNA NONPTRT007052
Source: RNAcentral
AAGGCUGCAAGGCCGGAGCGGAGUGUGUGAGUGCGUGUGUGGAGCAGCUUAGGGAGCGAGGUGCUAAGACAACCCCCAGGGCCGCGGUAGGGAGGAAGGGAACUGCCCUGGAGCUAUGAGCCGGGAGACUCGCCGUGGGGCCUUGCCCAGGCUGCGCCGGGGCGAGCAGGCGGCUAAGAUGCCGGGUCGCUGCGUGGGGCCCAGCAGGUCGGGGCGGGGGGUUCGGCGGCUGUGGGGGAAGAGACGGGGCGCAGGGACGUCCCGAGGCCGUGGAGCAAGGCGCCGGGCGAAGUCCUCGGAGUGGGAGACGCGCUGUGAAUGGUUUUAGGGAAGACUGUUGCCGGAUGACAAGGCUGUCACUAUUGUUCUGUACUACCUGACAUUAUGGGACCAGGCCAGCCAGCUUCAACCUGUGUUCAUCUAGCACCUAGGACCCAACUUGAUGGGAGGAGCGACCCCAAAGUACUUCAGACCCAG